This 489-nucleotide ribosomal RNA is filed under the name uncultured bacterium. RNAcentral's name for it is "partial 16S ribosomal RNA". It matches the Rfam family "Bacterial small subunit ribosomal RNA", at positions 30 to 507 of the family's 1533-position model. The record is from RNAcentral.
UUGAACGCUGGCGGCAGGCCUAACACAUGCAAGUCGAACGGUAACAGGAAGCAGCUUGCUGCUUCGCUGACGAGUGGCGGCCGGGUGAGUAAUGUCUGGGAAGCUGCCUGAUGGAGGGGGAUAACUACUGGAAACGGUAGCUAAUACCGCAUAAUGUCGCAAGACCAAAGAGGGGGACCUUCGGGCCUCUUGCCAUCGGAUGUGCCCAGAUGGGAUUAGCUUGUUGGUGGGGUAACGGCUCACCAAGGCGACGAUCCCUAGCUGGUCUGAGAGGAUGACCAGCCACACUGGGACUGAGACACGGUCCAGACUCCUACGGGAGGCAGCAGUGGGGAAUAUUGCACAAUGGGCGCAAGCCUGAUGCAGCCAUGCCGCGUGUAUGAAGAAGGCCUUCGGGUUGUAAAGUACUUUCAGCGGGGAGGAAGGGAGUAAAGUUAAUACCUUUGCUCAUUGACGUUACCCGCAGAAGAAGCACCGGCUAACUCCGUG